AGUGAACGCUGGCGGUAGGCCUAACACAUGCAAGUCGAACGGCAGCACAGUAAGAGCUUGCUCUUACGGGUGGCGAGUGGCGGACGGGUGAGGAAUACAUCGGAAUCUACUUUUUCGUGGGGGAUAACGUAGGGAAACUUACGCUAAUACCGCAUACGACCUACGGGUGAAAGCAGGGGAUCUUCGGACUUUGCGCGAAUGAAUGAGCCGAUGUCGGAUUAGCUAGUUGGCGGGGUAAAGGCCCACCAAGGCGACGAUCCGUAGCUGGUCUGAGAGGAUGAUCGGCCACACUGGAACUGAGACACGGUCCAGACUCCGACGGGAGGCAGCAGUGGGGAAUAUUGGACAAUGGGCGCAAGCCUGAUCCAGCCAUACCGCGUGGGUGAAGAAGGCCUUCGGGUUGUAAAGCCCUUUUGUUGGGAAAGAAAAGCAGCAGGUUAAUACCCCGCUGUUCUGACGGUACCCAAAGAAUAAGCACCGGCUAACUUCGUG
This 492-nucleotide ribosomal RNA is filed under the name uncultured bacterium. RNAcentral describes it as "partial 16S ribosomal RNA". It matches the Rfam family "Bacterial small subunit ribosomal RNA", at positions 29 to 507 of the family's 1533-position model. The record is from RNAcentral.